GAUGAACGCUGGCGGCGUGCCUAAUACAUGCAAGUCGAGCGAACAGACGAGGAGCUUGCUCCUCUGACGUUAGCGGCGGACGUGUGAGUAACACGUGGAUAACCUACCUAUAAGACUGGUAUAACUACGGGAAACCGGAGCUAAUACCGGAGAAUAUAUUGAACCGCAUGGUUCAAUAGUGAAAGACGGUUUUGCUGUCACUUAUAGAUGGAUCCGCGCCGCAUUAGCUAGUUGGUAAGGUAACGGCUUACCAAGGCAACGAUGCGUAGCCGACCUGAGAGGGUGAUCGGCCACCCUGGAACUGAGACACGGUCCAGACUCCUACGGGAGGGCGCAGUAGGGAACCUUACGCAAUGGGCGAAAGCCUGACGGAGCAACGCCGAGUGAGUGAUGACGGUCUUCGGUGCGUAAAGCUCUGUUAUUAGGGAAGAACAACUGUGUACGUAAAUAUGCCCGUCUUGACGGUACCUAAUCAGAAAGCCCCGGCUAACUACGUG
Molecule: ribosomal RNA, 497 nt
Filed under: uncultured bacterium
Lineage: Bacteria
Description: partial 16S ribosomal RNA
Rfam family: Bacterial small subunit ribosomal RNA
Source: RNAcentral